Molecule: ribosomal RNA, 593 nt
Filed under: Lodderomyces parapsilosis
Lineage: Eukaryota; Fungi; Ascomycota; Pichiomycetes; Serinales; Debaryomycetaceae
Description: Candida parapsilosis partial 26S ribosomal RNA
Rfam family: Eukaryotic large subunit ribosomal RNA
Source: RNAcentral
ACACAGCAUGCUUAGUAGCGGCGAGUGAAGCGGCAAAAGCUCAAAUUUGAAAUCUGGCACUUUCAGUGUCCGAGUUGUAAUUUGAAGAAGGUAUCUUUGGGUCUGGCUCUUGUCUAUGUUUCUUGACCACAGAACGUCACAGAGGGUGAGAAUCCCGUGCGAUGAGAUGUCCCAGACCUAUGUAAAGUUCCUUCGAAGAGUCGAGUUGUUUGGGAAUGCAGCUCUAAGUGGGUGGUAAAUUCCAUCUAAAGCUAAAUAUUGGCGAGAGACCGAUAGCGAACAAGUACAGUGAUGGAAAGAUGAAAAGAACUUUGAAAAGAGAGUGAAAAAGUACGUGAUAUUGUUGAAAGGGGGGGUCUUCAAAGCACCCUACGUGGUGUGGGGAAGCUCCCCCCCCGGGGUUGCCCACCCCGUGUGACGUGGGGUCCAAGAAUUAUGCGGGAGGCCCAGCCCAAAAAAAGGUGGCAUAGUUUCGAACGGGGACACGGAAUUGCCAAAUCUGAAUUUGAUUUUGAGGCCUCCCCCCCCCCUAAAAGGGAGUCCAGGGUGUUUUUUAAAAAACUUAAGGUUUGAACAAAAAAAGAUGAGUUUUU